AUUUUCAUCCGAGCCAAUCAUAUCAUUAAAACUGUAUGAGGGCAAUAAUCUAGAAAAAGUUUUAUCUGCGUUAGCUGAUUCAACAGCUCCCGUACCUGGCGUAAGGACAGAUAGAGUAAUCAAUGUGGCAAGGAGAAUGCUCAAAGGUGGCGGUAGACAGAAGGCGAUGAAGCUUAUGUUUAUCAUAACAAAUGGUAAUUCUAAGAUCAACCCUAAAAAAUCAGCGGAUUUUGCUAGAAGUGAUAUAAAUGCGAAAAUAUUUGUAAUACCGAUAUCCUCUAACGAUGUUGAUUUUACCCAAUUGAAAGUUAUAACAAGUC
This is a long non-coding RNA of Gordionus sp. m RMFG-2023, 320 nucleotides long. RefSeq lists it as uncharacterized. The record is from RefSeq and is a predicted model, not a curated record. NCBI's taxonomy places the organism in Eukaryota, Metazoa, Nematomorpha, Gordioida, Chordodea, Parachordodidae. The transcript is spliced from 3 exons.